This 374-nucleotide transfer-messenger RNA is filed under the name Rubrivivax sp. It matches the Rfam family "transfer-messenger RNA". Rfam says of the family: Bacterial tmRNA, also known as 10Sa RNA or SsrA, is named for its dual tRNA and mRNA-like properties. Its role is to liberate the mRNA from a stalled ribosome. To accomplish this part of the tmRNA is used as a reading frame that ends in a translation stop signal. Lineage: Bacteria; Pseudomonadati; Pseudomonadota; Betaproteobacteria; Burkholderiales; Sphaerotilaceae. The record is from RNAcentral.
GGGACCGACCUGGCUUCGACGUGGGUGCGGAGUCGGCGCGGGGCAUGCCGAGCACCAGUUCGCUCGUGAAUCCACUGGAAACAAAGUAACUGCGAACGAUUCUUCGUACGCCCUCGCCGCUUAAAACCGGUGAGCCUCGCAACAGUUGGCCCAUGGGCUGGGCCUGAAGUCGCAAGACGGCAGGCUGCGAGGUCAUACACAUGGGCUCGUCCUGCGGUGUGUCAUUCACCGCAGGCCUAAAUCCAAAUGACUCGGGGAACCGGUAGCGUGCUGCUGCGCGAUCGGGGCUCCUAAAUCCAAAUCAGACAGCUACGCAUGUAGAACCGUCCGGCGAUGGCUUGCGGACGGGGGUUCGAUUCCCCCCGGUUCCACCA